AAAGAGAUUAGUUUGUGUUGAAUGGGCGGAGAAGAAAAGACAGAACAUUCCAAGCAGAGUGGAGAUAGAAUAAAAUAGAAAUGAGCAGAACCUGCAAUGGUCUAUUUAAUAUACAAGAAACUGGCAUGCUUUGAUCAGAAGUUUUGUAUUUGUACAUAAAAGUGGUUAAGUUUGGUAAGAUGGAGGGAUUUGAGAGCUAGACAAUGAAGUUUACUACUAAUUAGCUACAGAAAUAUUUUAGGCUUUGGAAUGACAGUGUCCAAAAUACCUUCUCCUUGUCCAAACAAAAAUUUUUCCUAUUAUAAUUAAAAUUCUUUGCUGAUCAUGUUCACAAAUAGGACAUUUCUGAUGACUAAAGAAUAAACUGCAAAGAAAAAAUUUUGUUUCCAGUGUAGUUAACUAAAAACAUGUUAGAAAUAAAUCCAUAAUAAUUUUACUAUAUUGCAUUAUACUUUACUUCGCUACCCGGUGUAAUCAAGAGAGAUAUCACUGUUGGUAUACAUAUGGUCACUUG
Molecule: long non-coding RNA, 514 nt
Filed under: Bos taurus (domestic cattle)
Lineage: Eukaryota; Metazoa; Chordata; Mammalia; Artiodactyla; Bovidae
Description: long non-coding RNA NONBTAT007286
Source: RNAcentral